This 29-nucleotide small RNA is filed under the name Bombyx mori (domestic silkworm). RNAcentral's name for it is "piRNA piR-bmo-1878025". The record is from RNAcentral. Lineage: Eukaryota; Metazoa; Arthropoda; Insecta; Lepidoptera; Bombycidae.
UUACUGAAUCGUAACCAGGCCACGGAAGC